RNAcentral lists this ribosomal RNA (497 nucleotides) under uncultured bacterium. RNAcentral's name for it is "partial 16S ribosomal RNA". It matches the Rfam family "Bacterial small subunit ribosomal RNA", at positions 28 to 507 of the family's 1533-position model. The record is from RNAcentral.
GAUGAACGCUGGCGGCGUGCCUAAUACAUGCAAGUCGAGCGAACAGACGAGGAGCUUGCUCCUUUGCCGUUAGCGGCGGACGGGUGAGUAACACGUGGAUAACCUACCUCUUAGACUGGGAUAACUUCGGGAAACCGGAGCUAAUACUGGAUAAUAUAUUGAACCGCAUGGUUCAAUAGUGAAAGAGGGUUUUGCCGUCACUUUUAGAUGGUUCCGCGCCGCAUUAGCUAGUUGGUAAGGUAACGGCUUACCAAGGCAACGAUGCGUAGCUGACCUGAGAGGGUGAUCAGCCACACUGGAACUGAGACACGGUCCAGACUCCUACGGGAGGCAGCAGUAGGGAAUAUUCCGCAAUGGGCGAAAGCCUGACGGAGCAACGCCGCGUGAGUGAUGAAGGUCUUCGGAUCGUAAAACUCUGUUGUUAGGAAAGAACAAAAGUGUGAGUAACUAUGGACGUCUUGACGGUACCUAAACAAAAAGCCACGGCUAACUACGUG